RNAcentral lists this ribosomal RNA (253 nucleotides) under uncultured bacterium. RNAcentral describes it as "partial 16S ribosomal RNA". It matches the Rfam family "Bacterial small subunit ribosomal RNA", at positions 524 to 776 of the family's 1533-position model. The record is from RNAcentral.
UACGUAGGGUGCGAGCGUUAAUCGGAAUUACUGGGCGUAAAGCGUGCGCAGGCGGCAUCGCAAGUCAGGCGUGAAAUCCCCGAGCUUAACUUGGGAAUUGCGCUUGAAACUACGAUGCUCGAGUGUGGCAGAGGGAGGUGGAAUUCCACGUGUAGCGGUGAAAUGCGUAGAUAUGUGGAGGAACACCGAUGGCGAAGGCAGCCUCCUGGGCUAACACUGACGCUCAUGCACGAAAGCGUGGGGAGCAAACAGG